Cervus hanglu yarkandensis (Yarkand deer) is the source of this 739-nucleotide long non-coding RNA. NCBI's taxonomy places the organism in Eukaryota, Metazoa, Chordata, Mammalia, Artiodactyla, Cervidae. The record is from Ensembl.
CACCCCUCCCUGCCAAAAACCCAAAACUAAACACCACAGAAACCCUAAAACUUGUAUAUUCUCAAAAUUUUCUUUCGGUAAUCACUGAGUGAACUGAAAUUGGACAACAUCAUAAUUGCUCUUUCUGUGACUGAGGAGAAAAAAUCUGAGGUGGACGUCAUCACUCAUGGAGAGGGAGGAUCAGCCAUUUUACAUCUUCCCCCAAAGGUACAGAAAGAAGCAGAUGGCAUCUCAUGGAAAAGAGACUGACCAGGAGCCUGGAGGCUCAGACUUAAGCCUUAGCAGGUGACCUGGGGUCAGGAUGAUUCUCAGGAAUGGCUGCUCCUAGGAGCAGCAGAGAAGCGGGAAGUCUGGGAAGAAAGCCCUUCAAGCCUGGCCUGCAGCGGCUUCUCCUCCUGGGUGCCAAUGCUCUUGACAGGCCACAGAGCCCCGGUUCCAGCCAUGCAUCGUGUGACGAAAGAGGUGGUACAAGGUACAGCAAAUAAACUUACCAUGUUUCCCGUCCGACCGCAAAGCCCGACUGCCCAAUAGAGCCAUCUCAGUUCCACUGCAAUUUUUGCAGGUAAAAUUUUCAGUCAGCCACCAGAGGGUGCCCACAGAGCUCUCUGAAAAUGACCAAAUCCUGCAGAAUUAGAAAAUUUCCAGUGUAUCUAAAACUAAUACCAAAGAUAGCUCCCUCACAUAUGACUGGGAGUGAUGCACAGGCCAGCUAAGGAGCUGCAAGUUUGCAGGGGAUGAA